This 968-nucleotide ribosomal RNA is filed under the name uncultured soil bacterium. RNAcentral describes it as "bacterial SSU rRNA". It matches the Rfam family "Bacterial small subunit ribosomal RNA", at positions 56 to 1022 of the family's 1533-position model. The record is from RNAcentral.
UGCAGUCGAGUGCGAGUUUCCGUAGCAAUACGGAAAUGGCGCACGGCGCACGGGUGCGUAACACGUGGGUAAUCUGCCCUCUGAUGGGGAAUAACUCGCCGAAAGGCGAGCUAAUACCGCAUAACAUUCCUUGGACUCCGGUUCGAGGAUUCAAAGGCGUAAGUCGUCGGAGGUGGAGCCCGCGCACGAUUAGCUAGUUGGUAGGGUAAUGGCCUACCAAGGCUAUGAUCGUUAGCUGGUCUGAGAGGAUGGCCAGCCACACUGGAACUGAGACACGGUCCAGACUCCUACGGGAGGCAGCAGUGGGGAAUCUUGCACAAUGGGCGAAAGCCUGAUGCAGCGACGCCGCGUGGGGGAUGAAGCUUCUCGGAGUGUAAACCCCUUUCGACCGGGACGAAUACCUCGCAAGAGGGGUGACGGUACCGGUAUAAGAAGCCCCGGCUAACUACGUGCCAGCAGCCGCGGUAAGACGUAGGGGGCCAGCGUUGCUCGGAAUUACUGGGUGUAAAGGGUUCGUAGGCGGUGUGGCAAGUCGGGAGUGAAAUCUCUGGGCUCAACUCAGGGGCUGCUUCCGAAACUGCCGUGCUAGAGUGUGGGAGAGGCGCGUGGAAUUGCAGGUGUAGCGGUGAAAUGCGUAGAUAUCUGCAGGAACACCCGUGGCGAAAGCGGCGCGCUGGACCACUACUGACGCUGAGGAACGAAAGCUAGGGGAGCAAACAGGAUUAGAUACCCUGGUAGUCCUAGCCCUAAACGAUCAGGACUUGGGGUGCCACCCGUUCGGGUGUCGUCCCGGAGCUAACGCGUUAAGUCCUGCACCUGGGGAGUACGGUCGCAAGACUGAAACUCAAAGGAAUUGACGGGGGCCCGCACAAGCGGUGGAACAUGUGGUUCAAUUCGACGCUACGCGAGGAACCUUACCUGGGCUCGAAAUGCUGGUGACCAGCUGUGGAAACACGGCCUUCCCGCAA